UUUUUUAAUUUUUUUUAUUUAUUUAUUUAUUUUGCUUUUUAGGGCUGCACCGAUGGCAUAUGGAGAGUUACAGCUGCCAGCCUACACCACAGUCACAACAAUGUAGGAUCCAAGCCGUGUCUCUGUGGUGUAGGUCAUAGAUGCGGCUCAGAUCCUGUGUUGCUGUGGCUGUGGUCUAGGCCGGCAGCUGUAGCUCCAAUUCAACCUCUAGCCUGGGAACCUCCGUAUGCCGCAGACGCAGCCCCAAAAAGACACACACACACACACACACACACACACACACACACACACACACACAGGAAUGGAACAGGAACACCAGAAGGAGAGCAGGGCAGAAGCUGCAGUAGGCCUGCUUGUCUCUGAGUCUGGAUGCAGGCAGAAGUGGCUAGAAAUCUGGGAUAACAGAUUUACGCAUAACUCCAGCUAUGGAGUGCUGGAUACAAAGCCUGGAGUUAGAGCUGAUACACUGCUGGAACCCAGGGGCUGGGAAAGUAGUCUGAAAACAGUUGCUGUAACCCAUUCCCUGGGGCUGGGGCUUAUUACAAAGAUGCUUACCUAGGGAGACAGGGCCUGGAGCUAAGCUAAGUUGCUACUGUGAGAUUUGAUUCUAGACCAGGAGACCCAGAGGACCUGGGGAGGCAAAGGAGAAAAUCCCCAGAUGAAGAAGGGAUGAGCUUAUAUACUCAGAAAUAUGAGGGAAACUAAUAUGAAAGAAGAACAAAAUCAGAGGAAAAUUUAUCCCCAAAGAAAUGAAAAUAACAGAGUAGUCAGAAAAUACAUUUAGUAGAAAUAGGUUAAGGAUCCUUGAGGCUAUUAGCGAAACAAGAAAUUUGUUAAAGAAAGGUAAAUUAUAAAAGAAACAAGAAUAUGUAAACAUGAAAACUUUACAUUAAAAAUUGUAGGAGUUCCCAUUGUGGCUCAGCAGGUUAAGGACCUGACAUAGUCUCUGUGAGGAUGCAAGUUUGAUUCCCCAGCCCUGCACAGUGAGUUAAGGAUCUAGCAUUGCUGCAGCUGUGGUGUAGGUCACAGCUCUGGCUCGGAUUCAGUCCCUGGCCCUGGAACUUCCAUAUGCUGUGAGUGCAGCUGGAAAAGAAAAAAAAAAGAAUGAGGUGAAAUAAAGAUAUUUCUGUACCUGCUAAGACAGUUUUAUUACCUACACGUCCUUGCUAGAAGAACUACUAAAGGUUUGUAUUUCAAUAAGGAGAAAACUUGGGGAGAGGAGCAGAUUGCUAGCAGCAAAACCAAGUGCAGAAAUUGAUGUGCGUUGGUAAAUUAACUGUAGACAGUGUAUCAGGAUGCUCACGUCACCCACAGGGACUUAAACUCCAGAAGAUAUUUAACUAGCUUGUAAUGAGAAGUUGGAGGGAGGGAGUUCCAAGUUUGGAGCAUUAGUCCAGUACUGACUUGAGGAACCCUAGGUCAUUCCAUUGUUCUUCUCUGCUGUCAUAAGGGUAUAAGAGCUCUCUCCUCAUGGUUGUAAGAUGGCUGCUGCAGCUCCAGGUAUUAUAUCACCUUAGAGCAUCCUAAGCAGGAAGGGUAGGAAAUGCUAAGAGAAAGGAAGCUUUCUAAUGUGCCUCUUUUCUAAGAAGGAGAAUCUUUCCAGGGAAGCCCCAGCAGACAUCUCAUGCUUCAUUGACCUGAGCUGGUUCAUCCUUAGACCAAUUCCUGGUAAAAUGGAACAGGCUUAUCUUAUCUCCUGGGACUGGGUUCUUUGCUGCCUGAACAAAAUCAGGAUUCUUUUGGCAAGAAAAAAGGGGGAAUGGCUGCUAGUAGGCAACCAACAGUGUCGGCCACAGAUGGCAAAACGCACUGAACAGAAACCCAGAAUCUAGUUUGUUUUAGUUUUAAAAUAGGAAAACUAAAAUCGUUGGCCACAUUAUCAAGGAAGAAUCAGGUAGAAUAAGGAAGGGAAUUUCAUUGUUAAAUCACAUCACAUUUCUGCCUUGUUAAAGGGAAAUACCGCUGCUGAAAACUGUAGACCUCAUUAGGAAAAUAUGUAUCUGCUAACAAUUUAAGAUAACCACUUUAGUUAGUUAGAAGAAAGAAUUUCCAAUCCAGAAGGAAAAAUAUUGGGAGUGGGGGUAGUGUGUCAAUCCAACACAAGUUAGGAAAAGAAAAGAGAACUAAAGAAAAAUUAGUGGAGUUCCUGUUGUGGUAUAGCAGAAACAAAUCCGACUAGUAUCCAUGAGGAUGCAGGUUCACUCCCUGGCCUCACUCAGUGCGUCAGGGAUCCAGUGUUGUAGUGAGCUGUGGUAUAUAGGUCGCAGAUGCGGCUUGGAUCUUGGAUCCCACGUUGCUGUGGCUGGGGCGUAGGCUGGCAGCCAUAGCUCUGAUUUAAUCCCUAGCCUGGGAACCUCCAUGUUUCAUGGGUUCGGCCCUAAAUUUGAAAGAAAAGAAAAACUACCAGACUGAAUAAAAUGCAAAUAAGAAGUAAUCUGGAGAGACUGAUCAGUAGGAACCUAACAGGAACUGCCCUUGCUUUUCUCACACAGGUGGUUCUGUGUUUUUAGACAAUUUUCAGUUCCCUGCGCCAUCCACCCACCUCUCCUCAAAGUUGAGCUUUGACUUGCUUUUUUUUUUUUUUUUUUUUCCCCACCCGCAACAUGCAAAAGUUCCUGGGCCAGGGAUCAAACCUGCACCAAUACUGGAUCCUUAAACACUCUCCACCAGGGAACUCCUGCCUUGCUAAUGAGAUAGUAUUGUUUUCCUAGACUGCUUUAUUCCUGCUGUAGAUGUGUAUAGCAAAUUCCUGGACUUCCCCCUCCACCACCCCUACACACCAAGAAACCACACUGGGACUCUUAAGGGGCAGGUUUGGAGCAGAGCUGGGACCCCAUAUCCCAGCUGUCCCCCUUCCCCAUGCUUCACAACCCAGCUUUCCUCCCCUUAGAGCCUGUUCCUUUGGGGGCAGCAUCCAUCCUCUUGCGAUGGAGACUGAUGGUUUAUUUCUCUGGGACUUCCUUGAAAGUUACCAGAGUGAUGAUCAUAGGAUGGAAGAAAUGCGUAAGUUCUCACUUUCUGAUUUCCUGCCUGCUAACUCUGGGCAGCAUCAGAAGUACCAGAGCUGAGAUCACAGACUGGACAGCAUGUCAGAGUGAGUGUCCUGCAGGAAGGCAGGAGCGCCUGAAGCAGAGGCUGCUGGAGGGAUCGUAAUUGAUGAGCGUGGUAGACUGAGUCACUAGGGUAACAGUGAGGGGUUUAUGCCAGAGGCUGGCGCCAGCAGGUUGCAAUGUGAGGACUUCAGUUAGCCAAGCAUGUGGAAGUGAAGCAGCCAGUUUUCAGACACAUCAAGGACGUGCUUCUCUGGGCUUGAGUUGAGUAUAAGGGAGGGGCUGUCAGGUCUCUUCCUCCAGAUGAUGACAGGCACUCCAGGGCAUCUUCUGCCAGGGUUGGCUGUUGCCACACUCAGGAAGCAGGGCGUUUGCUGGGUUGUUAGGUUGGCAGGGUUCUGGGACACAGGGAACCUUCUGAUGGUUGUACUCCAGUUAGUGGAGAAAGCCUCUCUGGAUGGCAGUGAAUGCUUGUGGAAGGAGCACUGGCCUUGGAGCCAUCAGAUCUGGAAUGUAUUAACGCUCCGUCGCUUAUCGCCUGGCUGACCUCGUUUUGCUGUCUUGGGACUUCUGCGAAUACUGAAUGAGAGGCUAUGCCUGCAAAUGCUCAGAAACUCAUAAAGCAUCAUGCAGUGUGCGUACUAAUCUGUGGUUUGAUGCCUUUACACUGAGGCUCUGGGACACAUCCUCAGGCUGUGUGUCAGUGGGUGGAAAGAGGGUGCUUUAUCAGUGUCUCGGGCCAGGAUUUUUUUCUUUCUCCCCACCCCUUCCAAUUCAAGCAGCCUCCCUCCCUCCAUCCUCCGUGCCUUAUUUUGACAUUUCUUUUCUCUGCCUGCCAAGAAGAUUGUGUUCAGCUGUGCUGGUCUGAGGCUGUGCUAUCCUGUGCUUCGUUAGGUUAAUUCGAUGGCUUGUCUUCUGGGAACUGACUGGGGACUAGCUCUAAAACCCUGCUAGCCUCUAAAACCCAAUCCCCACUGUUUUCCUUGGGGCAAGCUUUGCCGCUGAAUCCCACACACCUUCGUUUUCUCUCCUCCACGCAGGAGCCGGCAAGGGCCUGCUUUGGCCCCACCUUGGUUCCUUGUAUUGGCAAAAUUGCUCAAGCAUGCAUCCUCUGAUUGGUAGAAGGCUCUAAGGGAGACCAUCAAAGCUGCCCCUGACCUUCUGGAUUCUGGUUGCUAGUUUCUCUGUUCAGCCUCAGCAUCUUAAACUUGACCAGCCAUUCAGGGGAUAUUUGUUGUUAAAUGGUCUCACCAUAUUUGCUAAAUUUGUGACCACAAACCUCUUGGAAGACCCUAGCAUUGCCUACCACUAAAUUUCCCUCAUUACUCCCCUUCUCUCUUAGAGGACCAUUCACUCCUGUUUUCUGUAAUCCUCCAGCCCCAGCAUCAAAGGUGUGUCACUCCCUGUGCCCAUGCUUUGCUUCACCUCCUGCUAUACAGGUCGACCUCCAUGUGGGCACUGCCUCUCCCUACCUCUUGCUCUGUUCUUGCUACUUAAGGACUUGCUUCGUAAUUAUCCUCUUUUUUUUUUUUUUUUUUUUCUACAGCAUUAACCUCUCCCUCUUCUGAACCAUCCCCACCAGCAUUCUGUAAUAUUUCCCAUUCCACUUUAUCUCAUUCCCCUUUUUUGGUAACACCUUUAUUGAGAUAGAAUUCAUGUUCCAUGCUCUUCAUCUAUUUCAGUUGUACAAGUCAGUUGGUUUUAGUUUAGUCACAUGGUUAUGCAAUCCUAGACCACAAACAAUCUUAGAACAUUUCAUCACCCCAGGAGGAAACUCCAUACCCAUUACCAGUCACUCCCCAUCUCUUCCAACCCCUAGCCCUGAGCAAUUACUAAUCUACUUUAUGGAUGUGUCUAUUCUGGACAUUUCAUAUAAAUGGAAUCACAUCAUGUGUAGUCUUUUGUGUCAGGCUUCUUUCACUUAGCAUCAUGUUUUCAAGGUUCAUCCAUGUAUCAGUGCUUCAUUUCUUUUUAUGGCUGAAUAAGAUUCCAUUGUAUGGAUAUUAGAUGUUUUGCUUACUCAUCAGUUGAUGGGACUUGGAGUUCUUUCCACUUUGGAGCUAAUAUGAAUAAAGCUUCUAUCAUUUGUGUAUGUAUUUUUGUGCGGAUAUAUAUUUCUCUUGGGUGUAGACCUAGGAUUAAAAUUGCUGAGUCAUAUGUUAACUCUGUUUAAUCUUCUGUCUGCCAGACUGUUUUCCAAAGUGGCUGCGCCAUUUUUCAUUCUCACCAGCAAUGUAUGAGGGUUACAAUUUCUCCAUCUCUUCCUUAAUACCUGUUAUUAUCUGUCUUUUUGAUUAUAGCCAUCCUUGUAGGUGGGAAGUGGUAUCUGAUUGUGGUUUUGAUGUGUAUUUCCCUGAUAGCAAAUGAUGCUGAGCAUCUUUUCAUCUGCUUGUUGGCCAUUUCUCAUCCAGUCAGAUGUUUGCCCCUUCCAUACUUUUGGAUCAGCCACUGUGAAGGUCACUGCUGACAGCCUUCUCUUAUCUAUGUCAGACCUUCCCUCGAUAAUUUCUUCUGGUCCUGUAGUUUUAAAAGUGAACUGUACUCAGGUGACUCUCAAAUGUAUCCCUCCAGCUCUGACCUCUUCCAUGAGCCUUAGACAUCUGUGUCCUGCUGCCUGUUGCCAUUUCCACAUGGACUGUUAAAGGGCAUCUCAAAUUGAACCUGUCAUCAACAGAACUCUUGCUUUUUUUUACUCCUGAAAACCCAUUUCUCUCCUGACUUUUCUGCAUGAAUGAAUGGCAUCCCACAACCAGGUUGCUCAGGCCACAAGCUGAGUCCUGAUUUGGUCUUCCCUGCCCACCCACCACCCUCCAUCUAGCCCAUCCGUUAAGCCCUUCACAAUACAUCCAGCUACUUCUCACCACCUCCGCUGCCUGGGUUUUUGAAGUAGCUCCUCUCUGGUCCCCAGCUCAUCUUACGCAGCAGCCAGAGAAGUUCCUUAGCAAAAAAAUAUUUUAACCUAAAAACUAAAACAAAUUAGACUUUAUUGAGAAAUGCAUCACACAUUCAGAAUAGUAUAUAUCGGAGUUCCCGUCGUGGCACAGUGGUUAACGAAUCUGACUAGGAACCAUGAGGUUGCGGGUUCGGUCCCUGCCCUUGCU
RNAcentral lists this long non-coding RNA (6151 nucleotides) under Sus scrofa (pig). RNAcentral's name for it is "lncRNA (ENSSSCG00055000909.1)". The record is from RNAcentral. Lineage: Eukaryota; Metazoa; Chordata; Mammalia; Artiodactyla; Suidae.